This 442-nucleotide ribosomal RNA is filed under the name uncultured bacterium. RNAcentral's name for it is "partial 16S ribosomal RNA". It matches the Rfam family "Bacterial small subunit ribosomal RNA", at positions 338 to 795 of the family's 1533-position model. The record is from RNAcentral.
CCUACGGGUGGCAGCAGUAGGGAAUCUUUCACAAUGGGCGAAAGCCUGAUGGAGCAACGCCGCGUGCAGGAUGAAGGCCUUCGGGUUGUAAACUGCUUUUAUAAGCGAGAAAUAUGAUGGUAACUUAUGAAUAAGGAUCGGCUAACUACGUGCCAGCAGCCGCGGUCAUACGUAGGAUCCGAGCAUUAUCCGGAGUGACUGGGUGUAAAGAGUUGCGUAGGUGGCAUAAUAAGUAGCUAGUGAAAUCUGGUGGCUCAACCAUUCAGACUAUUAGCUAAACUGUUAAGCUCGAGACCGUUAGCGGUAAGUGGAAUGUCUAGUGUAGCGGUGAAAUGCGUAGAUAUUAGAAGGAACACCAAUAGCGAAGGCAGGUUACUGGGACGGAUCUGACACUAAGGCACGAAAGCGUAGGGAGCAAACAGGAUUAGAUACCCUAGUAGUC